UACAGAGGUGGCAAGCGUUGUUCGGAAUUACUGGGCGUAAAGGGCGCGUAGGCGGUCCCGUCAGUCCCUUGUGAAAUCCCCCGGCUCAACUGGGGAACUGCAAGGGAUACAGCGGGGCUUGAGUUCGGGAGAGGGAAGCGGAAUUCCGGGUGUAGCGGUGUAAUGCGUAGAUAUCCGGAGGAACACCGGUGGCGAAGGCGGCUUCCUGGACCGAUACUGACGCUGAGGCGCGAAAGCUAGGGGAGCAAACGGG
RNAcentral lists this ribosomal RNA (253 nucleotides) under uncultured bacterium. Its description in RNAcentral is "partial 16S ribosomal RNA". It matches the Rfam family "Bacterial small subunit ribosomal RNA", at positions 524 to 776 of the family's 1533-position model. The record is from RNAcentral.